AUCUUUGCGCUUGGGGCAAUGACGCAGUUAGUGAGGUGAAACCGAGACGCGUCAAUUGCUGGUUGAAAACUAUUUCCAAACCCCC
This 85-nucleotide small nuclear RNA is filed under the name Marchantia polymorpha subsp. ruderalis. Its description in RNAcentral is "U4 spliceosomal RNA". It matches the Rfam family "U4 spliceosomal RNA", at positions 1 to 84 of the family's 138-position model. From Rfam's summary of the family: U4 small nuclear RNA (U4 snRNA) is a component of the major U2-dependent spliceosome. The structure of U4 snRNA from yeast and human has been reported. Lineage: Eukaryota; Viridiplantae; Streptophyta; Marchantiopsida; Marchantiales; Marchantiaceae. The record is from Rfam by way of RNAcentral.